Molecule: long non-coding RNA, 448 nt
Organism: Hippopotamus amphibius kiboko
Lineage: Eukaryota; Metazoa; Chordata; Mammalia; Artiodactyla; Hippopotamidae
Exons: 3
Source: RefSeq, a predicted model, not a curated record
UGAAGAUUUCAUCUGCUGUCAUUCACAAGCCAACUCCAUCUGUCUUGCUCCAUUAACAGGAGAUCAGGCCAUCCUGCAAGGGCUGAGGGGGAAAUUCUGAACAGUUCAAGAGGGUGAAGGUCUGUCUCUGGGAUUGCUGCCGAAAGGGAGGUGCAGCCCCUCUCACUGUCCCUGUGCUGUAGGUCCUGCGGUGGGGAGAAGCACCAGGUUUCCCAGAGCCUGCCUGAAAAGACGUUCUGGAAGAGCUGAGGGUAUAUUUGUGCCCAGAAAAUGAUCCAGGGAUGGGAUGGAGGCUGAGAGGAACCAAAGAGGCAAAGGGAACGCUGCCCUGCCAGAGCUGCCAGCCGUUUCAGGGGCGCAGCCUCGUGAGGAGGUGGUCAGGAGUCUGCGAGCGUGGGUUUCAGUCCUGACUUCACCUCUCCCAGCAACUGACAAGCCUUCAUUCUGC